Mercurialis annua (annual mercury) is the source of this 2522-nucleotide RNA transcript. It is a transcript of the gene named F-box/kelch-repeat protein At1g74510-like, with no coding region annotated. Lineage: Eukaryota; Viridiplantae; Streptophyta; Magnoliopsida; Malpighiales; Euphorbiaceae. The transcript has 4 exons. The record is from RefSeq and is a predicted model, not a curated record.
CAUUAACAAUAUUGUAACCCAUUUCAUUUCUCUCUCUACCCAAUAUAACCAGAAAAACUACUCAGUGUCUGCGUCGAGCCGAGUCGACUCAGUCUAUAAAACCAACUGGGUUUUGAUUCCGCUACUGAAUUCUACUCUACUGUUACUGAAAGUCCCUGUCUUUCUUUGCUCUGUUUUAUCAUGUUAGAGGGAUCUUGUAUCGCCUCAAAGGAAUCACCAGCAUCAUGUGAGCAAGAGAGCCAGCGGACUUUCAGCACUUCCUAUGUUGUUGAGUUGUCUGGCAAGCGCCGGAUUGAAGAUGAAGAUGUCGAAUCAAGAAAAGCUGCUAGGCUACUCGACGCAAACGACAGUCAACAAGAGAUGGAGGGUCUUCUAGAGGUUCUCCCUUCAUUGCAAAUUGAUCAAUCAGAUAAGGAGAACCAAGCAGAGGCUCUGACUGAUAUUUCUGUUAUGCAAUCUGAUCAUCCAGGUCAGAGUGGCCUUUCAGCAUUGCAAACUGAUCAAACAGAACGUCUGCUUGUUCGUUUGGUUUUGCAAUCUGAUCACCCGGUGCAGCAGCAAGUGGCAGGUUUCAGUGACCUUUCUGUUGUGCAAACUGAUCAGCCCUAUACGCAGCAGCAAGAAAAUGGUCCACAGGAGUUCUCUAUUAUGCAAGCUAAUCAGGCAGAUUGUCAGGAUCAAGAGGACGAAAAGGCAGAUUCAAGUUCACUUAUUAAUCCACUAGGUCGAGAACUGUCAAUAAGCUGUCUCCUCCAUUGUUCUAGGUCUGACUAUGGAAACAUUGCUUCACUAAACAAAAGUUUCCUGUCCUUGAUUCGGAGUGGUCUGCUGUAUAAGCUGAGGAGGAGUAUGGGUUUUGUCGAAGAUUGGGUUUACUUCUCUUGCAACCUUCUAGAAUGGGAGGCCUUCGAUCCUAUUCGCUGCCGAUGGAUGCAUUUGCCAAGAAUGAAUGCAAAUGAAUGCUUUAUGUGUUCGGACAAGGAAUCACUGGCUGUAGGGACACAACUUCUUGUUUUUGGAAAGGAGAUAGAGUCUCAUGUUAUUUACAAAUAUAGCAUUUUAUCAAACAUGUGGACAUCUGGCAUGAAGAUGAAUGCACCUCGAUGCUUGUUUGGGUCUGCCAGUUUGGGCGAAAUUGCAAUUCUAGCUGGCGGUUGUGACCCAGCUGGGAAAAUUUUGAGCUCAGCAGAACUUUAUAAUUCGGAAACUGGCACAUGGAGUACCAUACCAAGCAUGCAUAAAGCUAGGAAAAUGUGUUCUGGGGUAUUUAUGGAUGGAAAAUUUUAUGUUAUCGGCGGUCGCGGGAUAGGUAAUACAAAUAUGCUUACCUGUGCGGAGGUGUAUGAUUUAGCAACAAAAACGUGGCGCGUGAUACCUGAUAUGCUCCCUGCACGAAAUGGAGGGACCAGAGGAAAUGAAACACCUGCUGCAGCUGAGGCACCUCCUUUAGUCGCUGUUGUAAAUAAUGAGCUUUAUGCUGCUGACUAUGCACAAAAGGAGGUGAGAAAAUAUGACAAAGAGAAAAAUGCGUGGAACACACUGGGUGGUUUGCCGGAGGAUGCAGUUUCGAUGAACGGUUGGGGGCUGGCUUUUAGAGCAUGUGGUGACCGGCUAAUUGUUAUAGGCGGUCCUAGGGCUUUAGGUGGGGGCAUGAUUGAGCUUAAUUCUUGGGUUCCAAGCGAAGGGCCCCCAAAAUGGAAUCUGCUUGCAAAGAAACAAUCGGGCAGCUUCGUCUACAAUUGUGCUGUGAUGGGAUGCUGAGGUGUGCAAUUUAGCCACACCAAGUGUAAAGCGUGACCUUCAGUAGGUUUCCGAGGAGAUGGGAUGUGGACAUUUGUUUUUCAGGUAAUGGUGCUAAGGUUCCAUCUACCUGCCUGUUCACCUCAAGAACUUUGAUUGCAGGGAGGUCCCUCGACCAUGUCUGAGCCAGCUUGUUUACAUCCAUAUACUCUGGACGAAAAGCUUCAAGGUGCUCACGAUUUUCCUGAAACGGGGAAAGCCUCAAAAUCUUUGGUUGCCGCUGAAGAGUGUAUCCAUGUUAUAGUGGACCAUAUUCAGCCAAAGAAUUAAGCUAUCGGGGCAGCUCUGCAUUCAUGAUGUACUAUAUAUGUCGAGUCAAAAUGGGCUCCGAUUCUAACAGCAGUGAGAAAUGACUAUCGAGGAGCAACCAGAAGAAGCUGAGGGUUCGAUAUUGACAAUAUUCAGAUUGUGAACUUUAAUUUGACCUCUGGACAGUGAAACGUGAACAGUUUUCGGUUAUGAUUUUGUUCUAUAACAUAAAAGGAGGUCAAAAUGUCUGAAAAUAGCAAGUCUUGUUGUUUUAUUGACUGUCAUGAACAUUUAUGAAUGUUUGAUUUGUGUACUUGAUUUAUGACAUCAGCCGAUUGGCUUAUGGUUAUGGUAGGCCAGAAAAGGUUCUCAGUUUGCUUGUUCCUGUUAUUUCAAUUACUGUUUCUUGUUGUGUUUUGUACUUGGUUAUGUAAAAGAACACUUUUAUUUAGUGAAUUUUCUGCAUUUUCUUA